This is a long non-coding RNA of Cercocebus atys (sooty mangabey), 1700 nucleotides long. RefSeq lists it as uncharacterized. The transcript is spliced from 2 exons. The record is from RefSeq and is a predicted model, not a curated record. Lineage: Eukaryota; Metazoa; Chordata; Mammalia; Primates; Cercopithecidae.
GUACAUGUGUGUGGUGUGUGGUAUGUGUGUGGUGUGUGUGAUGUGUAUGAUGUGUGUGUGUGUGGUGUGUGUGUUGGGCCCAGGGCCUGAGGAGGAAGCAGGGCUGCCCAGGAAAAUGCCACCCUGGAGAGGCCCCUAUCCCUCCCUGCCUGUCCUCCCUGUCCCCCUCUGUCCCUCCCUGCCCAUCCUCCCCUGUCCCCCUCCAUCCACCUCCCACCCGUCCCUCCUCCUACGGCGGGCGGCCCGUCUUUUGUGCUGCCUGUGAGAAGCACAGGGAGGGCUGGGCGGGCGUGAACCCGCUGGCAGCCAGUGUGUGCGCAGCCCUGGCCCGGGCCUCCCAGCCCCUGCAUCCCGAGCACCCGUGGGGCAGUUGGCAGCGUCCUGGCACAGCCUGGGAGAUUAAUUGGUGCUUUUAAUGACGGCUGGUCUGGCGAGACUACAGUGAGUACAGGCUGGGCCGGCACAGGCUGUGAACAGAGGCUGGAAAGGCCCCACCCCCGGAUGGGUCUCCAGCGGAGAGGAGGGGUUCACAGGACCCCUCUCAAGACCCCCUUCGGGAGUCAGCUUCCUGGCCGCGCACACUUGGAGCUCUGGGCUGGGUUGCAGCUCCCUGUGCUUCACUGUCUCAGGUGCUGACAGUGCCAGCUGGGACACGAGUUCCGGUUUGGGUCAAGGCUGGCCUGUUGGCCGGGGUGGCGUCUGCCUGAGAACUGGCCUUGUCUGUGCCUUAAGCUUCCCGGCGCUCACAGGGCAGUGGAAAACCACUCGGUGAGCCUUUCUUGGCACCCUGCAGGAGCAGUGCUUUCUGGGCCCUCUGCGGCCAGAGCUGGCCCCGCUGCAGCUCACUUCUGCCUGCAGCUCAGACAUCCUCCUGGUCCUCCUGAUGCCCCCGGCCUCCACGGAGGACGAGCGUCUCCAGCCCAGCCCUCCCCAUCUCCACCUUCCGCCCCCCCGACACACUGGGAGCCUCCUGAUCCGUGAACCCGUGCUGGCGGGGGUAGCUACUGACUGCUGAGGACCCCUGCCCGGGCUGUUCUCACGUGGCAAGGAUUUGGGGAGCGGGCGAUGCUUAGCUCAAAGCAUGGAGACCAGCGCUGCCCUCUCCCCAGCGACAGGUGCACGCUCAGAUCACGGAUGUGUCGGGAACAGCUGUGACUCCUGCUGCUCAGCGUCUGUCACUCCAGGCUGGGAGCGGAUCCCCAAGCUUCCGGCUGGGCCCAUCCGUCUCCCCUCUCAGUGGUGGGUGGGGGGAGCGCCAACAGCACGCAUUUGCUCUCCGCACUUCUCAUCUGACAGUGGGCAGAGGGUCCUUCUCCAGCCCUAAAACAUCCUCAGGCAGCGCCCUGGGGCUCCAAGCAGCCAGGGAGAGCCCAUCAGCAGGAGAGGACUGACUCCAGAAAAAUCAGCCUUUGUGCCCACUUAGGCUGCCAAGACCUGUGUCCGUCCUUCCACACGCAACCUUCAGAUUUCAUGAGGCUCCUUGCCCGGAAUGUCCAUGUUUGAAAUCUCCCAACACCGAGCCCCAUUUCAAGUAUAACCAAGAGGGAAAAUGGUGCUUGAAAUAAGCAUGCCAUAAAGGAAAACCCGCUUUCUCGAAAUGGGCUCUGGUUGCUCAGGUCCUGACCUCCCCGGCCAGGAUGGAACGUUCCAGAGACCCAUUAGUGCCAAAGGCAAAUUAAAACACACCCUGUAAAAAUGUC